RNAcentral lists this long non-coding RNA (588 nucleotides) under Musa acuminata (dwarf banana). RNAcentral's name for it is "long non-coding RNA (MACU_LNC009265)". Lineage: Eukaryota; Viridiplantae; Streptophyta; Magnoliopsida; Zingiberales; Musaceae. The record is from RNAcentral.
UUCAUGAGUUCUUUUCUUCACUGCGGAAAUGGAGAUCACGACUGCAGGUACGGAUGAGAAAACAGUCCCUUUGAUCGGACAUCACUGACACAAGCAAUUUCAUUACUGGAUGAAUGGCGGGAAUCAUACCUUGAGGUCGAACUGCGAUCGGUUCUGCUUCAACAGGUACAGGAGCGCAAAGAAGUCAUCGGUAUCCACGUCCGUGUCCAAGAGAAUCCGGCGAGGAUUCGCAUCCACCACGCAGGAUUUCCAACCAAGGAAUUCCAUCAGCACAAGGAACAGAAGCGCGACACUCCUUCCGGUUCUCGUCAUCUCUUCCCCAACCGAGCAUGCAAAAGAAUCACCAGGCCGAUCACCAACCUCAACUUAAAUACGAGCCGAUUCUUGACCUCAAAACACACUCACAACAGACUCGUUCUACAAACGAACACAGACAGAGGUGAAUAGAAGGAUGAGAAACAAGCUGGGAGGUUAUUGGAAUUCUAAGUCGUGGAAGAAACACAAAGAAGUUAAUAGGUUUUAAAGAUCUAAUAAAUCAAAUUAACUAUUGAUUCUUAAAAAAAAUAAAAAUAAAAAUUUAUAUUGAAU